AGUGUUGGAACCUUCAUUUGUCUCCAUCUCCUUUGAAUGGUAGUGCGAUGGUGGCAAAAGUCCUUGAAAGUCAAGACAUAUAGACCCAUGCUAUUUUCCAUCCUCCGCUCGACCCACAUCUUUCUAGCUAGCCCUACGCUUGUUGCAUAUCUGUGCAUGCAUCUAAACCACAUCCGGUCAAACUUGGUAGGUUGUCUUGAAGCUCAACCAACUAAUCUUCUUAGGUCCCUAGCUCAUUUGGAAUAAGAUGGAAAAGGUGACAACAAUCUAUAAGCUUGCUUUGCUUAAAAAAUGUCAUAUCCAUAUUUGUGCUUGCUUGGCUCGAUUAACAGAUGGAUGGCAUUUCGAUCAACAUUUAGACUCAAGCUCCUUAAUUUUUCCAAAUCGAAGCAGGACGAUAUCUAGAUCGCCUUUGGAUCUAGCAGCACCCUGUCAUAUCUAGGGUCUAUAUGACUAGAGCUUGAGGGAGUCAGGCUAUUGCUGUGCUAAGUUUAGCUAGCACAGCAAUAGCCACGCUAUUGCUGGGAAAGCCACGCUA
This 538-nucleotide long non-coding RNA is filed under the name Phoenix dactylifera (date palm). RNAcentral's name for it is "long non-coding RNA (PDAC_LNC012820)". Lineage: Eukaryota; Viridiplantae; Streptophyta; Magnoliopsida; Arecales; Arecaceae. The record is from RNAcentral.